AGCAGCCGCGGUAAUUCCAGCUCCAAUAGCGUAUAUUAAAGUUGUUGCAGUUAAAAAGCUCGUAGUUGAAUUUCGGGGUCAGUAGGCUGGUCGUGCCCCCGGUACGUACUGGUCUAACUGAUUCCUCCUUCCUGAAGAAUCGUAAUGCCAUUAAUUUGGUGUUGCGGGGAAACAGGACUGUUACUUUGAAAAAAUUAGAGUGUUUAAAGCAAGCUAACGCUUGAAUACAUUAGCAUGGAAUAAUGAAAUAGGACGAUCGAUCCUAUUUUGUUGGUUUCUAGGAUUGACGUA
RNAcentral lists this ribosomal RNA (291 nucleotides) under uncultured Glomeraceae. RNAcentral's name for it is "partial small subunit ribosomal RNA". It matches the Rfam family "Eukaryotic small subunit ribosomal RNA", at positions 569 to 864 of the family's 1831-position model. The record is from RNAcentral. Lineage: Eukaryota; Fungi; Glomeromycota; Glomeromycetes; Glomerales; Glomeraceae.